RNAcentral lists this ribosomal RNA (484 nucleotides) under uncultured bacterium. Its description in RNAcentral is "partial 16S ribosomal RNA". It matches the Rfam family "Bacterial small subunit ribosomal RNA", at positions 29 to 507 of the family's 1533-position model. The record is from RNAcentral.
AUUGAACGCUGGCGGCAUGCUUUACACAUGCAAGUCGAACGGCAGCGCGGGCUUCGGCCUGGCGGCGAGUGGCGAACGGGUGAGUAAUACAUCGGAGCGUGCCCAGUAGUGGGGGAUAGCUCGGCGAAAGCCGGAUUAAUACCGCAUACGACCUGAGGGUGAAAGCGGGGGAUCUUCGGACCUCGCGCUAUUGGAGCGGCCGAUGGCAGAUUAGCUAGUUGGUGGGGUAAAGGCCUACCAAGGCGACGAUCUGUAGCUGGUCUGAGAGGACGACCAGCCACACUAGGACUGAGACACGGCCCAGACUACUACGGGAGGCAGCAGUGGGGAAUUUUGGACAAUGGGCGAAAGCCUGAUCCAGCAAUGCCGCGUGUGUGAUGAAGGCCUUCGGGUUGUAAAGCACUUUUGGCGGGAACGAAAAGGACUGUGCCAAUACCACGGUUCGAUGACGGUACCCGCAGAAUAAGCACCGGCUAACUACGUG